GCACUGUUGAGGAGUCCCACAAUAGGACGAAACGGCCGUGGAGUGC
Molecule: non-coding RNA, 46 nt
Filed under: Schistosoma haematobium
Lineage: Eukaryota; Metazoa; Platyhelminthes; Trematoda; Strigeidida; Schistosomatidae
Source: RNAcentral